GGGGAUAUAGCUCAAUUGGUAGAGUGCUUGCCUUGCAUGCACAAGGCCCUGGGUUCAAUCCCCAGCACCA
RNAcentral lists this transfer RNA (70 nucleotides) under Marmota marmota marmota (Alpine marmot). It matches the Rfam family "tRNA". From Rfam's summary of the family: Transfer RNA (tRNA) molecules are approximately 80 nucleotides in length. Their secondary structure includes four short double-helical elements and three loops (D, anti-codon, and T loops). The record is from Rfam by way of RNAcentral. Lineage: Eukaryota; Metazoa; Chordata; Mammalia; Rodentia; Sciuridae. RNAcentral also lists the same sequence under 5 other names.